UGGGGUAUCGCCAAGCGGUAAGGCACACGAUUUUGAUUCGUGCAUUCGUUGGUUCAAAUCCAGCUACCCCAGCCA
Molecule: transfer RNA, 75 nt
Filed under: Clostridiales bacterium
Lineage: Bacteria; Bacillati; Bacillota; Clostridia; Eubacteriales
Description: tRNA-Gln
Rfam family: tRNA
About the family: Transfer RNA (tRNA) molecules are approximately 80 nucleotides in length. Their secondary structure includes four short double-helical elements and three loops (D, anti-codon, and T loops).
Source: RNAcentral